This 850-nucleotide ribosomal RNA is filed under the name uncultured bacterium. RNAcentral's name for it is "bacterial SSU rRNA". It matches the Rfam family "Bacterial small subunit ribosomal RNA", at positions 8 to 858 of the family's 1533-position model. The record is from RNAcentral.
AGAGUUUGAUCUUGCUUCGGAUGAACGCUAGCGAUAGGCUUAACACAUGCAAGUCGAGGGGCAGCAUGUCCAGCAAUGGAUGAUGGCGACCGGCGGAAGGGUGCGUAACGCGUGAGCAACAUGCCCUAUACAGGGAGAUACACCAGGGAAACUUGGUCUAAUAUCCCAUAGCAUUCAUUGAAGGCAUCUUUAAUGAAUUAAAGCUUCGGUGGUAUAGGAUUGGCUCGCGUGACAUUAGCCAGAUGGUGAGGUAACGGCUCACCAUAGCAAUGAUGUCUAGGGGUUUUGAGAGGAAGGCCCCCCACACUGGGACUGAGACACGGCCCAGACUCCUACGGGAGGCAGCAGUGAGGAAUAUUGGACAAUGGAUGGAAAUCUGAUCCAGCCAUGCCGCGUGCAGGAAGACGGCCUUAUGGGUUGUAAACUGCUUUUAUACGGGAGCAAUAAGGGUUACGAGUAAUCCGAUGAGAGUACUGUAUGAAUAAGGAUCGGCUAACUCCGUGCCAGCAGCCGCGGUAAUACGGAGGAUCCGAGCGUUAUCCGGAAUUAUUGGGUUUAAAGGGUGCGUAGGCGGCCAUUUAAGUCAGCGGUGAAAUUUUGCAGCUUAACUGUAACAGUGCCGUUGAUACUGUUUGGCUAGGAUUUGGUUGUAGUGUGCGGAAUGUGUGGUGUAGCGGUGAAAUGCUUAGAUAUCACACAGAACACCGAUUGCGAAGGCAGCACACUAAGUCAUUAUUGACGCUGAGGCACGAAAGUGUGGGGAUCAAACAGGAUUAGAUACCCUGGUAGUCCACACUGUAAACGAUGAUAACUCGCUGUCGGCGAUACACAGUCGGGGCCAAGCGAAAGC